GAGACAGCAGUAGCCGCGGGAAUACGGAGGGUGCAAGCGUUAAUCGGAAUUACUGGGCGUAAAGCGCACGCAGGCGGUCUGACAAGUCAGAUGUGAAAUCCCCGGGCUUAACCUGGGAACUGCAUUUGAAACUGUCAGGCUGGAGUCUUGUAGAGGGGGGUGGAAUUCCAGGUGUAGCGGUGAAAUGCGUAGAGAUCUGGAGGAAUACCGGUGGCGAAGGCGGCCCCCUGGACAAAGACUGACGCUCAGGUGCGAAAGCGUGGGGAGCAAACAGGAUUAGAUACCCCUGUAGUCCCUGUCUCUUAUAC
This 308-nucleotide ribosomal RNA is filed under the name uncultured bacterium. RNAcentral describes it as "partial 16S ribosomal RNA". It matches the Rfam family "Bacterial small subunit ribosomal RNA", at positions 505 to 807 of the family's 1533-position model. The record is from RNAcentral.